RNAcentral lists this ribosomal RNA (250 nucleotides) under uncultured bacterium. RNAcentral's name for it is "partial 16S ribosomal RNA". It matches the Rfam family "Bacterial small subunit ribosomal RNA", at positions 524 to 776 of the family's 1533-position model. The record is from RNAcentral.
UACGAAGGGAGCUAGCGUUGUUCGGAAUCACUGGGCGUAAAGCGCACGUAGGCGGAUGUGUCAGUCAGGGGUGAAAUCCCGGAGCUCAACUUCGGAACUGCCUUUGAUACAGCACGUCUUGAGUCCGGAAGAGGUGGGUGGAAUUCCUAGUGUAGAGGUGAAAUUCGUAGAUAUUAGGAAGAACACCGGUGGCGAAGGCGCCACUGGUCCGGUACUGACGCUGAGGUGCGAAAGCGUGGGAGCAAACAGG